GAUGAACGCUGGCGGCGUGCCUAAUACAUGCAAGUCGAGCGAACGGACGAGAAGCUUGCUUCUCUGAUGUUAGCGGCGGACGGGUGAGUAACACGUGGAUAACCUACCUAUAAGACUGGGAUAACUUCGGGAAACCGGAGCUAAUACCGGAUAAUAUUUUGAACCUCAUUGUUCAAAAGUUAAAGACGGUCUUGCUGUCACUUAUAGAUGGAUCCGCGCUGCAUUAGCUAGUUGGUAAGGUAACGGCUUACCAAGGCAACGAUGCAUAGCCGACCUGAGAGGGUGAUCGGCCACACUGGAACUGAGACACGGUCCAGACUCCUACGGUAGGAAGCAGUAGGGAAUCUUCCGCAAUGGGCGAAAGCCUGACGGAGCAACGCCGCGUGAGUGAUGAAGGUCUUCGGAUCGUAAAACUCUGUUAUUAGGGAAGAACAUAUGUGUAAGUAACUGUGCACAUCUUGACGGUACCUAAUCAGAAAGCCACGGCUAACUACGUG
This 497-nucleotide ribosomal RNA is filed under the name uncultured bacterium. RNAcentral describes it as "partial 16S ribosomal RNA". It matches the Rfam family "Bacterial small subunit ribosomal RNA", at positions 28 to 507 of the family's 1533-position model. The record is from RNAcentral.